Molecule: non-coding RNA, 133 nt
Organism: Salmonella enterica subsp. enterica serovar Choleraesuis
Lineage: Bacteria; Pseudomonadati; Pseudomonadota; Gammaproteobacteria; Enterobacterales; Enterobacteriaceae
Source: Rfam
AAAGAUCGAUACCGAGGGGGGGGGGGGCUGAUGCCCCGGAGAAUUUCUGCUCACGCAGGCAGCCUGUACCGCGUACAGUCUGAAACUCCCUAUACCUCAACAAACUGCCACUCCGGCGUAAAGGUAUCGUUCU